UCCAGUCUAAGACGGGGGGAGAAAAAAUCUUGCACGAAUAUGAAAAAACAAAGACAUUGACGGAUGCUACACGGCGACAGGUGGUAAACCUCCUAGUUGCAGACAUGAUGGAAGUCCAUGGCUGGGACAGUGACCUGUCAAGCAUUUAUACUGUUCGUUCACCUACUCCCCCCUACCUCAAAAGGCCACAAGAAGAGUGCUAAAAUCAGCUCAGAUCAACCUGUCAACCAUGUGGUGAGAUAUCUGAAGAUUGGAGCCAGUGUUGAGACCUUCGUAGGGAGCUUGGAACCAGGACAGCCCUUCCUCCUCUGUGUUGGUGAUCAGAAGAACAUUCAAAGGUUCUAUGUCAUCGUUGAUCAGAACGCCAUCCCUUGCAAGACACAGACAUCCCUGACAGCUUUCGAUGAGCUUUUCAAGGCACACUUCAUCUUCAGUGUUAACUACCAUGAAUCCCUCAACAGCUUCUACACAUUCAUCCAAACCACGGUGUUUAACAUGUGGGAAGUGCCAAGGAAAGUCCCCGAGUAAAAGAGCACAGAGCAAGGCUGCACACUAAUACUUGAGGUGAUACACAUCCUUGUUUGCAAAUAUGCUGAUAUGUUCCAUUUGUAAGGCACACCAGAAAAGUUCUGCAUUGCUUUGAGACGUCACCAUGGAUUAUAUCCAGGAAAGACAUUACGUUUGAAAUGUGGACAACCGGGAAGUUCUUUAUCAUUUUGUACUUAUUCAGGGUUAAAAAAACACCUCAUUUGUUCGCACAAGGACACUUAUUCACCAAAUACUACUGACAAUGUGGGCACUCAAAAUGAAGGUGAGCCUUCAAAUUCUCAGGCAAUCUGUACAGACACUCCAGUAACUAGCCAGAUUUCUGUUGACAAGCACCAUUUGUUAAACCUGUGUGGAUCUGUUGUAGCACAAUUGCAAGCAUCAGGUGUUGCUGAGAGCACUGUCCAAGCAAUGGUAGGGUCAAUGGAAGAGCUUGUAAAUGACAUUCAUAAGCAAACAAGAGAAGCUGUUCUCAGCUGUACUUCUUCAGAGAUUCAAGGAACCAAUUUGGGGGGAAAAAAGGUGGAAAAUUGUUUGGAUCAAUUGGAAAAUCCUUUCUCUGUCUUAAAUACAGCAGCCAAACGACAGAAGUUUUUUGAGGAAGAGUGGGAAAUAGUUGAACCUGUAGAAUAUGUUCUUGGGGUGCGUUUUGAUUUGCGAAGAGAUCGGACAACAGGAGUUUACAAUAAGA
Long non-coding RNA from Micropterus dolomieu (smallmouth bass), 1237 nucleotides. RefSeq lists it as uncharacterized. The transcript is spliced from 3 exons. The record is from RefSeq and is a predicted model, not a curated record. Lineage: Eukaryota; Metazoa; Chordata; Actinopteri; Centrarchiformes; Centrarchidae.